Molecule: ribosomal RNA, 826 nt
Filed under: Clonostachys rosea
Lineage: Eukaryota; Fungi; Ascomycota; Sordariomycetes; Hypocreales; Bionectriaceae
Description: partial large subunit ribosomal RNA
Rfam family: Eukaryotic large subunit ribosomal RNA
Source: RNAcentral
UUGCCCUAGUAACGGCGAGUGAAGCGGCAACAGCUCAAAUUUGAAAUCUGGCGCAAGCCCGAGUUGUAAUUUGUAGAGGAUGUUUCUGGCGACGCGCCUUCCGAGUUCCCUGGAACGGGACGCCAUAGAGGGUGAGAGCCCCGUACGGUUGGAUGCCUAGCCUCUGUGAAACUCCUUCGACGAGUCGAGUAGUUUGGGAAUGCUGCUCUAAAUGGGAGGUAUACGUCUUCUAAAGCUAAAUACCGGCCAGAGACCGAUAGCGCACAAGUAGAGUGAUCGAAAGAUGAAAAGCACUUUGAAAAGAGGGUUAAAAAGUACGUGAAAUUGUUGAAAGGGAAGCGUUCAUGACCAGACUUGGGCAGGUUGAUCAUCCGUGGUUCUCCGCGGUGCACUCUGCCUGCCCAGGCCAGCAUCAGUUCGCCCCGGGGGAUAAAGGCUUUGGGAAUGUGGCUCCCUCGGGAGUGUUAUAGCCCACUGCGUAAUACCCUGGGGUGGACUGAGGUUCGCGCUCUGCAAGGAUGCUGGCGUAAUGGUCAUCAACGACCCGUCUUGAAACACGGACCAAGGAGUCGUCUUCGUAUGCGAGUGUUCGGGUGUCAAACCCCUACGCGUAAUGAAAGUGAACGUAGGAGAGAGCUUCGGCGCAUCUCCGACCGAUCCUGAUGUUCUCGGAUGGAUUUGAGUAAGAGCAUACGGGGCCGGACCCGAAAGAAGGUGAACUAUGCCUGUAUAGGGUGAAGCCAGAGGAAACUCUGGUGGAGGCUCGCAGCGGUUCUGACGUGCAAAUCGAUCGUCAAAUAUGGGCAUGGGGGCGAAAGACUAAUCG